GAGAUGGGUCGCUAACGAUCAUGAAGGUCUACGAUGAGACAAUUAGUGGGCUGGUUACGUCAAGUGUGAUAGCGCCAAUGGAUGUUGACUGAGCUACUAUUUCCACCAUAAUUCUAUCAACGAUGGCGUAGGUUAGUUGAACAGAAAUCACCAAAGCAUCAUCGUGGAAAAAGUCUACUCCCUCAGUGUCCUGCUCGGUGAAGCUGACGAUUAGUCCAAGUACAUCAUAUAUGGCUUAAAGCUGAUAGACCGAUCUUGUCAGCUAGAUCUUCCUUUUCUUGGAGUUAUUGGUGGCCCUCAGAUGGUUGG
RNAcentral lists this long non-coding RNA (309 nucleotides) under Malus domestica (apple). RNAcentral's name for it is "long non-coding RNA (MDOM_LNC015026)". The record is from RNAcentral. Lineage: Eukaryota; Viridiplantae; Streptophyta; Magnoliopsida; Rosales; Rosaceae.